RNAcentral lists this transfer RNA (75 nucleotides) under Bacillota bacterium. RNAcentral describes it as "Firmicutes bacterium (anaerobic digester metagenome) tRNA-Gly". It matches the Rfam family "tRNA". From Rfam's summary of the family: Transfer RNA (tRNA) molecules are approximately 80 nucleotides in length. The record is from RNAcentral. Lineage: Bacteria; Bacillati; Bacillota.
GCGGAUGUGGCUCAAUGGUAGAGCAUCGGCUUCCCAAGCCGAGGGCUGCGAGUUCGAAUCUCGUCAUCCGCUCCA